This 402-nucleotide ribosomal RNA is filed under the name Actinomycetes bacterium. RNAcentral's name for it is "Actinobacteria bacterium partial 16S ribosomal RNA". It matches the Rfam family "Bacterial small subunit ribosomal RNA", at positions 355 to 776 of the family's 1533-position model. The record is from RNAcentral. Lineage: Bacteria; Bacillati; Actinomycetota; Actinomycetes.
UGGGGAAUUUUGCACAAGGGGGGCAACCCUGAUGCAGCGACGCCGCGUGAUUUAGAAGGCCUUCGGGUUGUAAAAAUCUUUUGUAUAGGAAGAAAAUGACAGUACUAUACGAAUAAGGUCCGGCUAAUUACGUGCCAGCAGCCGCGGUAAUACGUAAGGACCGAGCGUUGUCCGGAAUCAUUGGGCGUAAAGGGUACGUAGGCGGUUAAAAAAGUUAGAAGUGAAAGGCUAUAGCUCAACUAUAGUAAGCUUUUAAAACUGUUUAACUUGAGAGAUGGAAGGGAAAGUGGAAUUCCUAGUGUAGCGGUGAAAUGCGCAGAUAUUAGGAGGAAUACCGGUGGCGAAGGCGACUUUCUGGCCAUUAUCUGACGCUGAGGUACGAAAGCGUGGGUAGCAAACAGG